This 1371-nucleotide ribosomal RNA is filed under the name uncultured bacterium. Its description in RNAcentral is "bacterial SSU rRNA". It matches the Rfam family "Bacterial small subunit ribosomal RNA", at positions 28 to 1381 of the family's 1533-position model. The record is from RNAcentral.
GACGAACGCCUGGCGGCGUGCCUAAUACAUGCAAGUAGAACGCUGAAGAGAGGAGCUUGCUCUUCUUGGAUGAGUUGCGAACGGGUGAGUAACGCGUAGGUAACCUGCCUUGUAGCGGGGGAUAACUAUUGGAAACGAUAGCUAAUACCGCAUAACAAUGGAUGACACAUGUCAUUUAUUUGAAAGGGGCAAUUGUUCCACUACAAGAUGGACCUGCGUUGUAUUAGCUAGUAGGUGAGGUAAUGGCUCACCUAGGCGACGAUACAUAGCCGACCUGAGAGGGUGAUCGGCCACACUGGGACUGAGACACGGCCCAGACUCCUACGGGAGGCAGCAGUAGGGAAUCUUCGGCAAUGGGGGCAACCCUGACCGAGCAACGCCGCGUGAGUGAAGAAGGUUUUCGGAUCGUAAAGCUCUGUUGUAAGUCAAGAACGGGUGUGAGAGUGGAAAGUUCACACUGUGACGGUAGCUUACCAGAAAGGGACGGCUAACUACGUGCCAGCAGCCGCGGUAAUACGUAGGUCCCGAGCGUUGUCCGGAUUUAUUGGGCGUAAAGCGAGCGCAGGCGGUUUGAUAAGUCUGAAGUUAAAGGCUGUGGCUCAACCAUAGUUCGCUUUGGAAACUGUCAAACUUGAGUGCAGAAGGGGAGAGUGGAAUUCCAUGUGUAGCGGUGAAAUGCGUAGAUAUAUGGAGGAACACCGGUGGCGAAAGCGGCUCUCUGGUCUGUAACUGACGCUGAGGCUCGAAAGCGUGGGGAGCGAACAGGAUUAGAUACCCUGGUAGUCCACGCCGUAAACGAUGAGUGCUAGGUGUUGGAUCCUUUCCGGGAUUCAGUGCCGCAGCUAACGCAUUAAGCACUCCGCCUGGGGAGUACGACCGCAAGGUUGAAACUCAAAGGAAUUGACGGGGGCCCGCACAAGCGGUGGAGCAUGUGGUUUAAUUCGAAGCAACGCGAAGAACCUUACCAGGUCUUGACAUCCCGAUGCUAUUUCUAGAGAUAGAAAGUUACUUCGGUACAUCGGUGACAGGUGGUGCAUGGUUGUCGUCAGCUCGUGUCGUGAGAUGUUGGGUUAAGUCCCGCAACGAGCGCAACCCCUAUUGUUAGUUGCCAUCAUUCAGUUGGGCACUCUAGCGAGACUGCCGGUAAUAAACCGGAGGAAGGUGGGGAUGACGUCAAAUCAUCAUGCCCCUUAUGACCUGGGCUACACACGUGCUACAAUGGUUGGUACAACGAGUUGCGAGUCGGUGACGGCGAGCUAAUCUCUUAAAGCCAAUCUCAGUUCGGAUUGUAGGCUGCAACUCGCCUACAUGAAGUCGGAAUCGCUAGUAAUCGCGGAUCAGCACGCCGCGGUGAAAUACGUUCCCGGGCCU